GAUUCCUGCGUGAGAAUCAAGCAAUUUGGAAAUGUCCACCCUGUAUCCAGCAUCGCAUGAUCGUAAUCCACCGCCUCACCAAUUGAACUAAACAACGGCCAGAAACGCACCACGUGGCUUCGGAUCCACCCUCGACAGCGUCGUCAUCUCUAAUCCUGACCGUCCACCGCCUCAGCAUCUCUUUAUAAGCUGGCUCGCCCUAGAAGCUUAUUCCUCGCCCUCCGCCUGUGAUGCUUUUGUUCGUCGCUUGCGGGUCGGGUCCGAUCCGAUCCGAUCCGCUCCCAGAAAUCUCCUCCUCCCUCUCCAUCCAUGGCUACCUCGCCCUCCGAAAUCAAUCCAUCAUCGGAUCGCUUCGGGUUCGCCGCUUCCAUGGCGGUUUCGAUGGCUCGAAGCCCCUUGCUCUGAAGAUCGAGGUUCGUAACCCUAGCUAACUGAGGUUCCACCAGUUCCUUAGCUGUGUGGGAUGACGGAAGCUGAUUCUUCAAGCGUUCGUUAUGAUCAACAGACUCCCGAGCUCAUCAGAAGCUCGGCGGUGCUUGGCGAGGACGAUCUGGCGGUCAUGGAGGGAAGAGAGGAGAAACUUCCGGUGUCGAUUGGCUUGACAGAGGCUGUGACUAUGUAUUUGCGCUGCUUGUUCGAUUUAUAAUUGAGGUACUGUCGCUCGUUGUUUGGCGGAUGUAUGAGAUAGAUCGGAACGAGAUUUGCCCCCUUAGCUCUGGGGCUGACGAGUUCCGGUCGAUCUUUUGUCAUCCCGGCCUUUGCCAUGAUGGGUGCGCUCGCAUGGCAGGUCAACCAAAAGUCAAUGAAAAAUCAAGCUUUUCGGGUUUUUGAGGGGAGAUCGCACGGGGAUUGCCCGGGUUCUCCUCUCUCUGUGUGCUUUGCGCGCGUUGGCUCUGCUCGCUCUCCCCUUUACUUUUGAUCGCAUCACUCGCUCCAUCCAUUCAAAUUUAGGAUCGGACGAAGACAUUCAAAGCUCCUUCAGACGGGAAAGCAAUUUGUCGCCUAAUGAAUCUGACGCAGAGAAGGUGAGACACAAGGGGUUAAAGGUCGGGCUUAACUCUAAUUUCUUCUAUACGAAGACAGUUAUCAGCACAAUCACACUCGAGCACAUUAAUAUGCCUGUUAAUUGGAAGUAUAUUGCCUAUACCUAGAGUUGAGCUUCAUAAAUUUACAAUCAACCUUGUCGUUACUGUCAAUUGGUGUUAUAUAGUAUUGUCUAACUGCCGUAUCGAUCUUUUAAGUAGGAGAAUUGUCUUUCAUCUCUUGCCUCACAAGGAGGGGAGAAUCAAUUAACUCGGUAUGUGUUCUGGAAUUCUGCAGCCUCGCUUUGAUAUUCUCGUCAGAAUGACCUUCGAAAAUUCUAGAGUAAGUCGAAUCAAUGGGGUUUUGUCCAUUCAAAUACUGGAAAUCCUUGUUCUGUUCAUACGGAUACGCUUCACACAGGAAACCAAAAAUCGUUUUGUUAUACGGUACUUGUCAGUUGCCUUGUUCAACCUUAAUUUAUUGUCGCUGACUUCGUGAUGCUGCAUCUCAUUUCGGGUGUUGCUGCAUCUCUUUUCUGGUUUCUCUCGUUGAAUGGUGGUAUGUGAAUUUUCCAUUUGUGGUUGAUUUGCUUUAUCUCAAUUUGCUUUAUCAAGAAGGGUAUGAUAUGUAAAGGGUCAUUCUAUCAAAAGUGUUGCUUCUUUUUGUAUGUGUUCCUCGGCCUUUUUGGUCAUCGGUGAUUGCUGAGGGCGUCGUAGAUGAGUUCUGGAUUGUGAUCGAGGCAACAAGAUUGGAAGCUUCUCACCACGAAAGGCCACAUCCUUGUUUCUGAUAAAGCGGAAGGAAGAUGGAAGAUUGAGAGAAGAAAGCGGAUUGAGCAUUUCCUGUUAUUGCGGAUCGAGAGGUGACAGUCUCUGCUUGGUGUGGUGUGCGAGUAUGCAUGAUGUUUACCCCUGCUCCAAUUACCGAAUCUUGGGUUGAACAUUUGUCGUGCAUGUGAGGUUAUCUUUUGCUGUUCUUGGUACGUCUUCCGAUACUUAUGUUCAGUUCUGUUAGAAUAAUGAUGCUGGCAGUUGGAUCA
Molecule: long non-coding RNA, 2062 nt
Organism: Rhodamnia argentea
Lineage: Eukaryota; Viridiplantae; Streptophyta; Magnoliopsida; Myrtales; Myrtaceae
Exons: 2
Source: RefSeq, a predicted model, not a curated record